This 88-nucleotide microRNA precursor is filed under the name Ovis aries (sheep). Its description in RNAcentral is "mir-935 microRNA precursor family". It matches the Rfam family "mir-935 microRNA precursor family". The record is from Rfam by way of RNAcentral. Lineage: Eukaryota; Metazoa; Chordata; Mammalia; Artiodactyla; Bovidae.
GGCGGGGCGCGGCGGCAGUGGCGGAGCGGCCCCUCGGCCAUCCUCCCGUCUGCCAGUUACCGCUUCCGCUACCGCCGCCGCUCCCGCU